GGGCAGAUGUGUCGAACUGUCGGGCCGAGGAAGGGCCCAAGCGCUGCCAUGUGUCGACAUCCGGAAAACCUUCGUUCGUUGCGCUUUCAUCCCGACCGUCGAAGGGCCUUAUAUAUAUGCAGCCACUUACAUCCAAAACUUCACUUUUGCUGUAAAUCUGUUCCUGACGCUGAGGCCUUGUCGAGUUGUCCCUCAGUUUUAGGUAGUUAUUUCCGUCCUCUUCCUUUGAAAGCUCUUCUCGAAAUUUUUUUCCGUUCCUGUCUCCUUGCAUCCUUUCUUCUUUGCCAUUUUCCUUCUUAUUCUCCUUUUCGGGGCUAGUGUCAUGGCUAGAACCUCUCCACGAGGAAGUCAGUCGGAAAACCCGACCGAUGAUUUUCGGUCGACCCCGGAGGUGGAGGUAUCUUCACUUUCGGAGGCAAAUGUCGAACGGCUCAAGGAGCAGUACGGUAUCCCGGAGCAGUUCG
This 464-nucleotide long non-coding RNA is filed under the name Elaeis guineensis (African oil palm). RNAcentral describes it as "long non-coding RNA (EGUI_LNC004395)". The record is from RNAcentral. Lineage: Eukaryota; Viridiplantae; Streptophyta; Magnoliopsida; Arecales; Arecaceae.